GAGAUUGAAGAAAAAACGUUUAAAACACAUGUUUGCUUAUAUUCUGUGACAAUAACAGCUUUUAUUUUUGUGAAUAAGAAGUUAAUGAUGUAAUACUUUAAGAAUAAACCUUAUCAUACAUUGAAAACAUAAACUUAGGUUUUAAAAUGUCUGCCAUAUUGGCAGAUUCAUGUAAAUGCUACUUGUGGUCAAUACUGGCAUAUACGUAAUUUACUACAGUUUAUUCUGUUUCGGCAAGGAGCUUUCAGAAUGCAAAGGUACAAAGUAUGCAAAACUCUGUGUAUUCCAGUACGGAAUCUAGUUUGUCGUCAGUGUAAUGAACACUUGGGUUACAUGACAAGAGAGAAUUUCAGCUGCUCUGGAAGUGUAACUUUCCAGGUCUUACCUUAUCGCUUCAAUAGUCUACAACUGAUCGCCGUGGGGUAUGAUGCUGGAUCACAGACUGUCCAAAUCCUUGGUCCAUCUACGGGACACGAUCGUAUCGAAGGAUGCGAAAUCAGGGUUUCAGGUGUAAAGUUGUAAGGUCUACAGUUCACAUUAAAGCACUGUUUCCUCAACCGUAGAUGUCAGAUGAAGAUGGAUGUCUUCUGGGUUGUUGCACUGUGUAGCCUGGUAGAAGUUUAUCAGCAUUCCGGAGGUCCCUCCUGCCUCCAUCAAGAUUACAGAACACAAAAGACUUGAGACUGGAGAAUCUGCGAUCAGCAGUAGCUGAAAACUAAAGCUACCAGACAUGGCAAUAACUUUGUCAAAACAGAAGUCGUGCGUUCUUUUUAAAAAAAAUAAAGCACAAUAAUUUGCGUAAUGCGAAUGUUACACAAUUCUAGUUUCUGUAGAACAGCAUGAAUGUAUGAAUGAUUGUUUUACAUUAAUAUAACUAAAAAUGGGAGAUGUGCAAUUUAUGCAAUAAAAUGCACUGACCUUUGUAAAAACAAUAAAUCUUAAGUCAUUAA
This is a long non-coding RNA of Zootermopsis nevadensis, 950 nucleotides long. RefSeq lists it as uncharacterized. Lineage: Eukaryota; Metazoa; Arthropoda; Insecta; Blattodea; Termopsidae. The record is from RefSeq and is a predicted model, not a curated record.